UAACUUCUCCAUGGCUGUCAUUACUAAGAUUCUUGCUUUUAGGUCUUUGUUUAAUUGCACCUCCAUAUCACUUAGUGGCCUGUAAUCCUGGACAACAUCAAGUAUGCCCACUAGUUGAUUAGCAGCACACAACAGAAGUCUGUUUCUUCCAAUUUUUGACUUGGCUCAUUUCCUGAGAUUAUUUCAUGUUCUUUCCAAUUUUAUGUGAAGCCUGAGAAAAGGAUUAUGUAUCUAGAUGAGUCUUUCCCAAGACUCCUUCACAACCUCUAGAUAUCCCUGCAGUCUUGGCCAAAAACUCUCAAAUCUGAACUCUCUAUAACGUCUCCCUGUAGCACUUCCGACAAUAAGCAAUGGGCAAUGCGGGCUGAAUGCGGGAGGCACACGACGAAGGUGUAGACCCAGAUGAUGCCCAUGACCCUGGCCUCGACAUGUGUCCAAUGUGUUUUGACUCGGACGCAGCCGUCCAAAUGCGUGUGUUCUUGCAAAC
This 487-nucleotide long non-coding RNA is filed under the name Setaria viridis. RNAcentral describes it as "long non-coding RNA (SVIR_LNC010085)". The record is from RNAcentral. Lineage: Eukaryota; Viridiplantae; Streptophyta; Magnoliopsida; Poales; Poaceae.